UAGUUUCAGGGACAGAGAGAAGACCGGACAGAAGCGUUCUUUCCCUCUCUUUGGGGAAGGCUCCCGCUGUUUUCUCCGGGUGUGGUUUCCCACCUGAAUUGGGGGUUUCUCCCCGAGUCUGCUGGGCUCCAGCACGCUGGAUGAGCCCGGAGCCCCAUCAAGGCAGAAAGGGCAGCAGCCACAGGGGAUGCCUGGGGAGAAGGAGCAAAACCAGAGCACGGCUCCUUCGGUGCCAAAGUCGCAAGCUGCCGCGACUGCCGAGCCAAAGGCCGUUCCCGUGCGAGGAGGCGAGCUCACAGCCCUCGCCGGGGCAGCGCCACAGAAGUGUGCCAGCAGGACGGAGCAUUCGCACGGCGCCUUAUCUCUGCUGAGGGCAGCGCAAACCUCGCUGCUGUAUCCUUGAGCGUGCCCAAUUAUCCCCGUUUACAGCAGCUUUAGGAAAAUACGAUUUUGACAGCAGUUGAAUGCGCUUGAAAACGGCGUUACGUACUGAUCUCAGCCACCUGAAAUUGGGGUCAAAAAUGAGCCUUCGAGGUCGGUGCUGCUCCCCGCUCCACCAGCUUCAGGUGAGCUCGUGUUUGGCUGCCCCUCGCCUGCCUCCGGCAGGAACCUCUCCCCGUCCCAAGGAUCCUGAAGCUCAAAGGCUGCAGUUUCAGGAGUGCUGACCUGGGCAGCUGAAGGUGGCUGGGUCUUCAGGGCACAGUGAAAACCUCUUGCAAAGCAUUUCUUGAGAUCUACUAACCGAGAGGAUUAGUUGCGUGUGUGUUUUUUUUUAAAGUAAUUACUUGAAUAAAUGUCUGCUCUCCAAACUUACAGGCCCCUUGGCAAGGAGCUGGGGCUUUAAUAUGUGAAUGAAUAAACUCUUUUGCAGCCUGACAGCGUGUACCUGCAGCAGCAGUAAAACCACAGCAGAAAUAAACCGACGUAACCAGCCGGUAAUUACCCAGAAACGCGCUCCCUUCCCCUCCUCACCUAAUUGCUGGGGCUUU
Molecule: long non-coding RNA, 989 nt
Organism: Cygnus olor (mute swan)
Lineage: Eukaryota; Metazoa; Chordata; Aves; Anseriformes; Anatidae
Exons: 3
Source: RefSeq, a predicted model, not a curated record